UAUAAUCCUUACGUUUACGAAAGGACACUGUAUGUCCAGUCUAACAUAAUAAUGAGAAAGUGUAUUGCAACAACACAUGUUGUAACAGACAGAUUUUGCAACAAAAAAUAAGACAAAAAAAAAAUGAACUGAUUGUAUUUGUCCCCGAUGUGUUUUAUGUUUGUGUUAUGGUGCAUCCUCCUCGAUAGUGAGUGGGUUUGAUGAAGUCGAGUACAAAAACUUCGAAGGGGUGCCGCCUUCAACAUACAAAAUUAAUUCUCGUGAAGAGUUUAAGUAUUAUCUUAGACAGCCGAUGGAGGAUCGUAGAGCAAGGAUCAACGCGUUGGAUUGAUGGAAAGAUAAUGAAAGACAAUAUCUUGUACUUUUAAAAUUAGCUGGAGAUAUAUUGAAUGAUCUAAUGUCAACCAUUGCAUCAGAAAACACUUUUAGUUAUGGAUGACAGUAGCUUGGAGACAACCAACACUCAUUGAGAGGAAAUGUUAUGAAUUUUCUAGUUUGCCUUAGAGACUGGACUAAAACAGAAUGAAGAAAUCAAGGAAUAGAGAUGGAGCCGACGGAGGAAUAAAAUCUUAAAGAAACUAUAACUUCAAGGGAGAACUCAACACAAUCAAUUCCAAUACAUGACUUAAAACCUCAUUGAUUUUGACUGUCCUCAGGCAGUUCCCAUUAGUAUUAACAUGUAUGAGUUGAAAAAAAUGACGCAAAAUUUGUAGAAUUGUCAAUCUUAUAACUUAUAAGUUUUGAA
Molecule: long non-coding RNA, 745 nt
Organism: Capsicum annuum
Lineage: Eukaryota; Viridiplantae; Streptophyta; Magnoliopsida; Solanales; Solanaceae
Exons: 2
Source: RefSeq, a predicted model, not a curated record